GCAUCGAUGAAGAACGCAGCAAAAUGCGAUAAGUAAUGUGAAUUGCAGAAUUCAGUGAAUCAUCGAAUCUUUGAACGCACAUUGCGCCCGCCAGUAUUCUGGCGGGCAUGCCUGUUCGAGCGUCAUUU
This 128-nucleotide ribosomal RNA is filed under the name Fusarium equiseti. RNAcentral describes it as "partial 5.8S ribosomal RNA". It matches the Rfam family "5.8S ribosomal RNA", at positions 30 to 154 of the family's 154-position model. Rfam says of the family: 5.8S ribosomal RNA (5.8S rRNA) is a component of the large subunit of the eukaryotic ribosome. It is transcribed by RNA polymerase I as part of the 45S precursor that also contains 18S and 28S rRNA. Functionally, it is thought that 5.8S rRNA may be involved in ribosome translocation. The record is from RNAcentral. RNAcentral also lists the same sequence under 5 other names. Lineage: Eukaryota; Fungi; Ascomycota; Sordariomycetes; Hypocreales; Nectriaceae.